Molecule: ribosomal RNA, 245 nt
Filed under: uncultured bacterium
Lineage: Bacteria
Description: partial 16S ribosomal RNA
Rfam family: Bacterial small subunit ribosomal RNA
Source: RNAcentral
GACGGAGGAUGCAAGUGUUAUCCGGAAUCACUGGGCGUAAAGCGUCUGUAGGUGGUUUAAAAAGUCUAUUGUUAAAAAUUGAAGCUUAACUUCAAAGAUGCAAUGGAAACUUUUAAACUUGAGUAUGGUAGGGGUAGAGGGAAUUUCCAGUGGAGCGGUGGAAAUGCGUAGAUAUUGGAAAGACCACCAAUGGCGAAGGCACUCUACUGGGCCAUACUGACACUGAGAGAGAAAGCUAGGGGAGC